UGCCARCAGCCGCGGUAAUACGGAGGGUGCAAGCGUUGUCCGGAUUUAUUGGGUUUAAAGGGUGCGUAGGCGGCCGAUUAAGUCAGCGGUGAAAGUCUGUGGCUCAACCAUAGAAGCGCCGUUGAUACUGGUUGGCUUGAGUGCCGUAUGGGUACAUGGAAUUGAUGGUGUASCGGUGAAAUGCAUARAUACCAUCAGGAACACCGAUWGCGUAGGCAUUGUACUGUGCGGCAAWGACGCUGAGGCACGAAAGCAUGGGUAGCGAACAGGAUUAGAUACCCKGGUAGUCC
Molecule: ribosomal RNA, 290 nt
Filed under: uncultured bacterium
Lineage: Bacteria
Description: partial 16S ribosomal RNA
Rfam family: Bacterial small subunit ribosomal RNA
Source: RNAcentral